ACAAGCAGCGGAGCGUGUGGUUUAAUUCGAUGCUACACGAAGAACUUACCAGGGUUUGACAUACAAGUAGUAGGGAACUGAAAGGGACCGACCCUUCGGGGAGCCUAUACAGGUGUUGCAUGGCUGUCGUCAGCUCGUGUCGUGAGAUGUUCGGUUAAGUCCGCUAACGAGCGCAACCCUCGUCGUAUGUUAUAUGUGUCAUACGAGACUGCCGGUAAAAGCCGGAGGAAGGUGAGGAUGAUGUCAAGUCAGCAUGACCUUUAUAUCCAGGGCUACACACACGCUACAAUGGUCUGUACAAUGGGUAGCCAAGCCGCGAGGCGGAGCCAAUCCUGAAAGCAGGCCUCAGUUCAGAUUGCAGUCUGCAACUCGACUGCAUGAAGCCGGAGUUGCUAGUAACCGCAGGUCAGCAAUACUGCGGUGAAUACGUUCCCGGGUCUU
Molecule: ribosomal RNA, 441 nt
Filed under: uncultured Anaerolineaceae bacterium
Lineage: Bacteria; Bacillati; Chloroflexota; Anaerolineae; Anaerolineales; Anaerolineaceae
Description: bacterial SSU rRNA
Rfam family: Bacterial small subunit ribosomal RNA
Source: RNAcentral